Molecule: transfer RNA, 56 nt
Filed under: Parachtes limbarae
Lineage: Eukaryota; Metazoa; Arthropoda; Arachnida; Araneae; Dysderidae
Description: tRNA-Trp
Source: RNAcentral
AUUGUUUUAAGAAAGUAUUCUGUUAAUUUUCAAAGUUAAAAGUGUUGAAAAGAUUU